AACGCUAGCUACAGGCUUAACACAUGCAAGUCGAGGGGAAACGAUAUUGGAAGCUUGCUUCCGAUAGGCGUCGACCGGCGCACGGGUGAGUAACGCGUAUCCAACCUGCCCACCACUUGGGAAUAACCUUGCGAAAGUAAGACUAAUGCCCAAUGAUACCUCUAGAAGACAUCUGAAAGAGAUUAAAGAUUUAUCGGUGAUGGAUGGGGAUGCGUCUGAUUAGCUUGUUGGCGGGGUAACGGCCCACCAAGGCAACGAUCAGUAGGGGUUCUGAGAGGAAGGUCCCCCACAUUGGAACUGAGACACGGUCCAAACUCCUACGGGAGGCAGCAGUGAGGAAUAUUGGUCAAUGGGCGAGAGCCUGAACCAGCCAAGUAGCGUGCAGGAAGACGGCCCUAUGGGUUGUAAACUGCUUUUAUAAGGGAAUAAAGUGAGUCUCGUGAGACUUUUUGCAUGUACCUUAUGAAUAAGGACCGGCUAAUUCCGUGCCAGCAGCCGCGGUAAUACGGAAGGUCCGGGCGUUAUCCGGAUUUAUUGGGUUUAAAGGGAGCGUAGGCCGGAGAUUAAGCGUGUUGUGAAAUGUAGACGCUCAACGUCUGCACUGCAGCGCGAACUGGUUUCCUUGAGUACGCACAAAGUGGGCGGAAUUCGUGGUGUAGCGGUGGAAUGCUUAGAUAUCACGAAGAACUCCGAUU
Molecule: ribosomal RNA, 695 nt
Filed under: uncultured Bacteroidota bacterium
Lineage: Bacteria; Pseudomonadati; Bacteroidota
Description: bacterial SSU rRNA
Rfam family: Bacterial small subunit ribosomal RNA
Source: RNAcentral